This 492-nucleotide ribosomal RNA is filed under the name uncultured bacterium. RNAcentral describes it as "partial 16S ribosomal RNA". It matches the Rfam family "Bacterial small subunit ribosomal RNA", at positions 29 to 507 of the family's 1533-position model. The record is from RNAcentral.
AGUGAACGCUGGCGGUAGGCCUAACACAUGCAAGUCGAACGGCCGCACAGUAAGAGCUUGCUCUUACGGGUGGCGGGUGGCGGACGGGUGAGGAAUACAUCGGAAUCUACUUUUUCGUGGGGGAUAACGUAGGGAAACUUACGCUACUACCGCAUACGACCUACGGGUGAAAGCAGGGGAUCUUCGGACCUUGCGCGACUGAAUGAGACGAUGUCGGAUUAGCUAGUUGGCGGGGUAAAGGCCCACCAAGGCGACGCUCCGUAGCUGGUCUGAGAGGAUGAUCAGCCACACUGGAACUGAGACACGGUCCAGACUCCUACGGGAGGCAGCAGUGGGGAAUAUUGGGCAAUGGGCGCAAGCCUGAUCCAGCCAUACCGCGUGGGUGAAGAAGGCCUUCGGGUUGUAAAGCCCUUUUGUUGGGAAAGAAAAGCAGCAGGUUAAUACCCCGCUGUUCUGACGGUACCCAAAGAAUAAGCACCGGCUAACUUCGUG